Molecule: ribosomal RNA, 496 nt
Filed under: uncultured bacterium
Lineage: Bacteria
Description: partial 16S ribosomal RNA
Rfam family: Bacterial small subunit ribosomal RNA
Source: RNAcentral
AUGAACGCUGGCGGCGUGCCUAAUACAUGCAAGUCGAGCGAACGGACGAGAAGCUUGCUUUUCUGAUGUUAGCGGCGGACGGGUGAGUAACACGUGGAUAACCUACCUAUAAGACUGGGAUAACUUCGGGAAACCGGAGCUAAUACCGGAUAAUAUUUUGAACCGCAUGGUUCAAAAGUGAAAGACGGUCUUGCUGUCACUUAUAGAUGGAUCCGCGCUGCAUUAGCUAGUUGGUAAGGUAACGGCUUACCAAGGCAACGAUGCAUAGCCGACCUGAGAGGGUGAUCGGCCACACUGGAACUGAGACACGGUCCAGACUCCUACGGGAGGCAGCAGUAGGGAAUCUUCCGCAAUGGGCGAAAGCCUGACGGAGCAGCGCCGCGUGAGUGAUGAAGGUCUUCGGAUCGUAAAACUCUGUUAUUAGGGAAGAACAUAUGUGUAAGUAACUGUGCACAUCUUGACGGUACCUAAUCAGAAAGCCACGGCUAACUACGUG